Molecule: non-coding RNA, 114 nt
Organism: Acanthosepion pharaonis
Lineage: Eukaryota; Metazoa; Mollusca; Cephalopoda; Sepiida; Sepiidae
Source: the annotation of a GenBank genome assembly
UUACGGUCAGAUCACAUUGAAACAUUGAUUCCCGUACGAUCACUGAAGUUAAGCAACGUCGAGCCUCGUCAGUAUCUAGAUGAGUGAUCGCUUGGGAAUAUCAGGUGCCGUAAG